Molecule: long non-coding RNA, 1756 nt
Organism: Numida meleagris (helmeted guineafowl)
Lineage: Eukaryota; Metazoa; Chordata; Aves; Galliformes; Numididae
Source: Ensembl
GAGGAGGAGGAGAAGGAGGAGGGCAGGGGAUGAUGAACAGCAGGUGUUGGUGCUCACUGGGAGGAGCUGUUAAUUGAACUGGUCUGGAUGGCUGUUGGGUGAGGCCUCACUACUGGAGCCAAGUGGCACUAUAAAAACCCAGGGAACAGGGGUGUGCCAAGUAUUGCUGUGGUGUUUGGGGUGUGUGUAUGGCCUUCUUUGGAGGAUUGGGAACUGGAUUGUGCUGGUUGGAGCUCAGGCACCUUCACUGGGCUGGUCUCAAGGAGGAAUGCUGAGAGGAGCAGGAUGGGAAGGAGCCCAAGGGCUGAGGGUGUCAGCUCUGGCACAGUGCAGGGGUGGAGGUGGAAUUUGGAGCUCUGUAAGAAGUAUCCAGGUGUUGCAGCCUGGCAGGAGAUGGGAUAUGGUGUUUGUUUCUAUGCUGCAGACAUUACCCAAAAGGAGAAGGGCAACUUCCUCUCCUUGUGUCUUCCAGCUUGCAUCUCAGUGCAUUUGGGAUGGCUUGAGAAACACAGAGAAGAUGAGGGAGCUGCACUGCCUGACUUCAGCCUCCCAGUGUCUAGUGCCAAGAAGAGGAAGGAGAGCACAGUAACAGGGGAGCAGAGCACAGGAUCAUUCUCCAGCCCCAACCUCCCUGGGAGGAGGAGGACACUUCCCAUUGCACACCCGAGCUGCAGCAUCAUCUACUGGCUUGCUCCUUCCAUUCACCCCAGCUAUACCCCUGAGGAUCCUUCUCAGUCAGUGCAGGAUCACUGCUAAUUCUCAUUCUCCAUGAGUUGGCUGUGAUAGCAGUGAUGCCCGCAGCCCCCCGGGAGCUGCCAGCCCUGCUGCUGGAGCCGUGGUGUGUCUGCAGGGCGCCCGGCGGGUCAGCAUCUAAGCAGACAAGAUGGAUGCACAGCACAGCUGAAAGAAACACAGCGACUCCUGUUUCAGAGGCAGGAGAAAUGGAGCAGAAAAAAAGAUGAAGGCCCCGAUCUCCACCGUGGAAAGUUUUGCUGACAAAAGUUUGAGUGCAUCCAUGAACUGGGGAAUUCCCUGGUUGGGAGUGAACCAGGCAGCAGGGUCAGGGUUCCCCCAUGUGCAGUGCCUGGUGCUGCUGUUACAGGGAUGUCUGGGCUCAGGGCACUGAGAUGUGCAGCCACUGCUGGUCCUAGCUCAUGCCAGAGCUCUAGUGCUCCCACUGCAGCAGGGAGGGCAGAGCCAGGUGGAAGGUGUCCAGUGCUGAGUGGGUAGGCACUGAGCCUAGGGAUGGGUGCUAGGGGCAGGACUCUCUCCUCUAGAAAGCAGGGGAUGCCAUUUGGGAUUGCAUGUCUGGGGGCUAGCGCUGUGGCUUCUCAGCAUGGGGAGAAUGUGCAAAAGGAGUCAGCAGGCUGCAGCCAGCUGUGAGCUGGGGAUGGGGUUUGAACGGGUGACCUUGCUGCUGGUUUAGAGUAUGGCAGAGCUCCGCAUGGGGAUGGGGGUGAGAGCAGCCUCCAGAGGAUGCUCCAGCAGAAGGCGUCUUCACAGCCUCUAUCCACCGGAUCUAUUUGAAGCCCUGGUGAGGAAAGACUGCAAAGAGCCUGCAGUCAGGGUGCGUGGGAUUUGGGCAGAGGAGAAGGGGAAGGGAGUUCAUGCACUGACAUGAGGAUGCUGCUGUGGAUGACAUGCUGGAUGGGAAUGCAGGGCUGGUGUGGGGGAGGAGGGGGGGCAGAGGGGGGGCUGCCUACAUGGCCCCCUGGUACUGAGUGCUGAUGCUUCUUUUUGUGCUGUCUGACAGCAA